AACGAACGCUGGCGGCAUGCUUAACACAUGCAAGUCGAACGAGAAGGCCUGGUUUAGUGGCGCACGUGUGCGUAACGCGUUGGCACAUGCCUUAGGGAUAGGAAUAACUUCUCGACCGGGGUGCGAAUUACGGCUGGUGUAUUCGGACUAAGGGUUUAUCGCCUUUGGGUGGGCCCGCGUUGGAUUAGCUAGUUGGUAUGGUAAAUGCCUACCAAGGCGACGACUCUUAGCUGGUCAGAGGGGAUGAGCAGCAACACUGGGACUGAGACACGGCACAGACUCCUAAGGGAGGCAGCUGGGGGGAAUAUUGGACAAUGGGCGAAGGCCGGAUCCAGCAGGGCCGCGGGAGGUAUGAAGGCCUUGGGGUUGUAAAGCUCUUUUAGCCGGGAGGAUAAUGACAGUACCGGGAGAAUAAGCUCCGGCUAACUCCGUG
This 433-nucleotide ribosomal RNA is filed under the name uncultured bacterium. RNAcentral's name for it is "partial 16S ribosomal RNA". It matches the Rfam family "Bacterial small subunit ribosomal RNA", at positions 29 to 507 of the family's 1533-position model. The record is from RNAcentral.